AGUGAACGCUGGCGGUAGGCCUAACACAUGCAAGUCGAACGGCAGCACAGUAAGAGCUUGCUCUUACGGGUGGCGAGUGGCGGACGGGUGAGGAAUACAUCGGAAUCUACUUUUUCGUGGGGGAUAACGUAGGGAAACUUACGCUAAUACCGCAUACUACCUACGGGUGAAAGCAGAGGAUCUUCGGACCUUGCGCGAUUGAAUGAGCCGAUGUCGGAUUAGCUAGUUGGCUGGGUAAAGGCCCACCAAGGCGACGAUCCGUAGCUGGUCUGAGAGGAUGAUCAGCCACACUGGAACUGAGACACGGUCCAGACUCCUACGGGAGGCAGCAGUGGGGAAUAUUCGACAAUGGGCGCAAGCCUGAUCCAGCCAUACCGCGUGGGUGAAGAAGGCCUUCGGGUUGUAAAGCCCUUUUGUUGGGAAAGAAAAGCAGCAGGUUAAUACGCCGCUGUUCUGACGGUACCCAAAGAAUAAGCACCGGCUAACUUCGUG
This 492-nucleotide ribosomal RNA is filed under the name uncultured bacterium. RNAcentral describes it as "partial 16S ribosomal RNA". It matches the Rfam family "Bacterial small subunit ribosomal RNA", at positions 29 to 507 of the family's 1533-position model. The record is from RNAcentral.